GGUGGCUCAGUGGUAGAGUGCUUGCUUUGUAUGCAUAAAGCCCUGGGUUCGAUUCCUCAGCACCA
Molecule: transfer RNA, 65 nt
Filed under: Dipodomys ordii (Ord's kangaroo rat)
Lineage: Eukaryota; Metazoa; Chordata; Mammalia; Rodentia; Heteromyidae
Rfam family: tRNA
About the family: Transfer RNA (tRNA) molecules are approximately 80 nucleotides in length. Their secondary structure includes four short double-helical elements and three loops (D, anti-codon, and T loops).
Source: Rfam by way of RNAcentral